UGCAAGUCGAACGCACUCUCGUUUAGAUUGAAGGAGCUUGCUCCUGAUUGAUAACAUUUGAGUGAGUGGCGGACGGGUGAGUAACACGUGGGUAACCUGCCCUAAAGUGGGGGAUAACAUUUGGAAACAGAUGCUAAUACCGCAUAAAACCUAACACCGCAUGGUGUAGGGUUGAAAGAUGGUUUCGGCUAUCACUUUAGGAUGGACCCGCGGUGCAUUAGUUAGUUGGUGAGGUAAAGGCUCACCAAGACCGUGAUGCAUAGCCGACCUGAGAGGGUAAUCGGCCACACUGGGACUGAGACACGGCCCAGACUCCUACGGGAGGCAGCAGUAGGGAAUCUUCCACAAUGGACGAAAGUCUGAUGGAGCAACGCCGCGUGAGUGAAGAAGGUUUUCGGAUCGUAAAACUCUGUUGUUGGAGAAGAAUGUAUCUGAUAGUAACUGAUCAGGUAGUGACGGUAUCCAACCAGAAAGCCACGGCUAACUACGUG
This 491-nucleotide ribosomal RNA is filed under the name uncultured bacterium. RNAcentral describes it as "bacterial SSU rRNA". It matches the Rfam family "Bacterial small subunit ribosomal RNA", at positions 56 to 507 of the family's 1533-position model. The record is from RNAcentral.